Molecule: ribosomal RNA, 332 nt
Filed under: uncultured bacterium
Lineage: Bacteria
Description: bacterial SSU rRNA
Rfam family: Bacterial small subunit ribosomal RNA
Source: RNAcentral
CGCGUAGGCGGUGCGGUAAGUCACCUGUGAAAUCUCCAGGCUUAACUUGGAGUCUGCAGGCGAAACUGCCGUGCUGGAGUAUGGGAGAGGUGCGUGGAAUUCCCGGUGUAGCGGUGAAAUGCGUAGAUAUCGGGAGGAAUACCUGUGGCGAAAGCGGCGCACUGGACCAUAACUGACGCUGAGGCGCGAAAGCUAGGGGAGCAAACAGGAUUAGAUACCCUGGUAGUCCUAGCCCUAAACGAUGAUUGCUUGGUGUAGCCGGUACCCAAUCCGGCUGUGCCGCAGCUAACGCGAUAAGCAAUCCGCCUGGGGAGUACGGUCGCAAGGCUGAA